UAGAGUUAUUGUAAUCAAUGUGAAUAUCAUGUUUUUUCAAAUCUGUUCUGAGCCUAUAGUGUUUGCUUUGUGAACAUAUGUGUAUUGUAUAUAUUCUGUAUAGUUACAUUGUACUGAAAUAUUAGCUUGUUUGAUAUAAGGAAAGUAUGUAUUGAGUACCUUUUUGCUAGCCUGGUUGUUUAAUCUUUUUUAAAAAGGUUUAAACUUUUUAAAAAAAAAAAUCUUUAAACUGGCCUUUAUUACAUGGUCACAAAUAAAGUUGCAGUUUAGAAGGGAUGGGCAGGGAAAAAUUAGUUUUGAGUGUCUUUGAAUAGAAACAUAAGACUAAGAUUUUUUUCUCAUUAAAAUAUCUUAUUAAUGCUUUAUGGAGUAAAA
This 375-nucleotide long non-coding RNA is filed under the name Lynx pardinus (Iberian lynx). Lineage: Eukaryota; Metazoa; Chordata; Mammalia; Carnivora; Felidae. The record is from RNAcentral.